This 259-nucleotide ribosomal RNA is filed under the name uncultured bacterium. RNAcentral's name for it is "partial 16S ribosomal RNA". It matches the Rfam family "Bacterial small subunit ribosomal RNA", at positions 526 to 779 of the family's 1533-position model. The record is from RNAcentral.
CAGAGGGUGCGAGCGUUAAUCGGAAUUACUGGGCGUAAAAGCGAGUGUAGGUGGCUCAUUAAGUCACAUGUGAAAAUCCCCGGGGCUUAACCUGGGAACUGCAUGUGAUACUGGUGGUGCUAGAAUAUGUGAGAGGGAAGUAGAAUUCCAGGUGUAGCGGUGAAAAUGCGUAGAGAUCUGGAGGAAUACCGAUGGCGAAGGCAGCUUCCUGGCAUAAUAUUGACACUGAGAUUCGAAAGCGUGGGUAGCAAACAGGAUU